Molecule: long non-coding RNA, 937 nt
Organism: Crotalus tigris (Tiger rattlesnake)
Lineage: Eukaryota; Metazoa; Chordata; Lepidosauria; Squamata; Viperidae
Exons: 3
Source: RefSeq, a predicted model, not a curated record
UGUAAUUAAUUGCAAUUUGCCCAUGAAUCAGCAGUGUGCGAUAGCUGCAAACAAAGCCACUGCAGAGAAUCUGGAAUAGAUUCAGAGACUGGCAAGCAGGAUGAUCAGGGCACUAGGAAGUUCUUAUGAAGAGACAUGGAAGGGCAUGAGUCUGUUUAGCCUUCAGGAAAGAUGACUAAGGGGGCAUAUGAUAGCAUUCUUCAAAUGCCUGAUGGGGUGUCACAUGGAAUAAGGUCAAGAGCUGAUGUCUGUAUGUGUGUGUGUGAGAGAGACUGCGUUUGUUCUCCAGAUUGCAGGCAUGGAAUGGGAAAUUGGAUUUAAAAUACAAGUCAUUUGGUCACAGUCCAUAAAAUCUAUGAUACAAAAGACCAGAUCCAGAUGUGAAGAUCCAAUUAAACCGAUUUAUUACUAAAACACCUAUGCGCAGAAUCUUCUCAACUUAGGCAGCAAAACCACUUUAUGCACAAAAAUGGAAGGAUGUUUCGAUUCCCACCAUGGAUGAAUGGUUACAAAAACUGAAGGAGUUAGCAGAGAUGGCUAAACUGAUUGUUCUGAUCAAAGAAAAUAACGUUCUGCAAGUCCUUCUCCUACAUCAGUGGUGGCAAAACUAUGACAUGUGUGCCAGAGGCAGCACUCGGAUCCCUCUCUGUGGACACAUGCACCAUUGCCCCAGCCCCACCUCCUCUCAUGGUCCCCUCCUCACCAACAGUCCCCCUGGAGGAGAGCUGCCCCCAGGUGCAGCCCAGUGAAGCAGCAUAGCCAAGGACAUGGUAGCCGGGCAGCGGGGACAAGACUCCACCCUUGCGGCCCGUCAUGCACAGAUGAUGCUGCGGAACACGGGCAGAGGGUGUGGCUGCCAUGGCGCUGCUGGCUGCCUGGGUGAUCUAUGGUGGGCCAUGGAGGUGGUGGGUGGCCCAGCGGGCAGGGCGGAGCAAGG